Molecule: non-coding RNA, 82 nt
Filed under: Thiobacillus sp.
Lineage: Bacteria; Pseudomonadati; Pseudomonadota; Betaproteobacteria; Nitrosomonadales; Thiobacillaceae
Description: c-di-GMP sequence
Rfam family: c-di-GMP-I-GGC riboswitch aptamer
Source: RNAcentral
ACCGAACAGGGCAAACCCGCCGCGAGACGGGGACGCAAAGUCACCGGUCUUUCUCCAGCGAAAGACGGCGGGACUGCCGGUC